GACGAACGCUGGCGGCGUGCUUAACACAUGCAAGUCGAACGAGUGGCGAACGGGUGAGUACCACGUGGGUGAUCUGCCUUGCACUUCGGGAUAAUCUUGGGAAACUGGGUCUAAUACCGGAUCGUGCAAGAUGAGCUCUCGGCCUAUCAGCUUGUUGUUGGGGUAAUGGCUACCAAGGCGCGACAGGUAGCCGGCCUGAGAGGGUGUACGGCAACAUUGGGAAUGAGAGACGGCCCAGACUCCGACGGGAGGCAGCAGUGGGGAAUAUGGGACAAUGGGCGAAAGCCUGAGCCAGCAAGGCCGCGUGUGUGAAGAAGGUCUUCGGAUUGUAAAGCACUGUAAGUUGGGAGGCGUUACCGACAGAAUAAGCACCGGCUAACUCUGUGCCAGCAGCCGCGGUAAUUC
RNAcentral lists this ribosomal RNA (405 nucleotides) under uncultured bacterium. RNAcentral describes it as "partial 16S ribosomal RNA". It matches the Rfam family "Bacterial small subunit ribosomal RNA", at positions 28 to 526 of the family's 1533-position model. The record is from RNAcentral.